GAAAUCUUCUAGAAGCUGACCUUAUCUUGAACCUCAUAUGUAAUACUCUGCUGAAAUGGGAAAUGCCUGAUGUUUACCAGAUGAUCAAAUUGGAUGUGCAGCCUCUGAACAAGAUCUUACCACUUCUGUAGAGAACAGCUUCCAGGAGGUGCCUCUAGAAGAGCAGCAGCUGCUUCCAAAGACAAAAAAGAAAGGAAAUUGCUGUGAGGAGAAAAACUCCUUGGAGGGGAAGGUAUGAAGAUUCUUAUGCCCUUGGAGACCAUUUUCCAGAGCACAAGGGCAGACAGGGAGGUGAGCCCUGUGGCAUUAUCUGUGGCACAGCACAGACUGCUGACAAGAAUCAAGGACAGACAACAUGCCAAAAGUGCAAGGUGACAGACUUUUCCUGGUGCAUUGAGGGGACCGUACAGUCUGCCAAAAUCCAGGAAUCACAGAAUCUUAGAAUCAUCAAGGUUGGAAAAGACCUUCAAGAUCAUCAAGUCCAAACAUCCACCCUACAACCCCUAACCACUAAACCGUCUCCUGAAACAGCACGUCUAUCCAUUUUUUUAACAUCUCCAGGGACAGUGCCUCCACCACCUCCCUGGGCAGCCUGUUCCAAUGCUUCACCAUGGAAGUAUGCAUCAAAACCACGGAGACCCAGGGGCAAUAGACUUCAAAGCUCUGGAUUUUCAUCUACUCCAAAGGAAAGAAACCAA
This is a long non-coding RNA of Apus apus (common swift), 698 nucleotides long. RefSeq lists it as uncharacterized. The record is from RefSeq and is a predicted model, not a curated record. The transcript has 4 exons. NCBI's taxonomy places the organism in Eukaryota, Metazoa, Chordata, Aves, Apodiformes, Apodidae.